This 438-nucleotide ribosomal RNA is filed under the name uncultured bacterium. RNAcentral's name for it is "partial 16S ribosomal RNA". It matches the Rfam family "Bacterial small subunit ribosomal RNA", at positions 339 to 795 of the family's 1533-position model. The record is from RNAcentral.
CUACGGGGCGCUGCAGUGAGGAAUAUUGCACCAUGGUUGCCCCCCUUCUUCAUCCCCUCCUCGUGGAGGAUGACGCAUUUCGGUGUGUAAACUCCUUUUAUAUGUCAAGAAAAUGACGGUAGCAUAUGAAUAAGCACCGGCUAACUCCGUGCCAGCAGCCGCGGUAAUACGGAGGGUGCAAGCGUUACUCGGAAUCACUUGGCGUAAAGUAGCGUAGGCGGGUUGGAAAGUCAGGUGUGAAAUCCUACAGCUUAACUGUAGAACUGCACUUGAAACUUCUAAUCUAGAGUAUGGGAGGGGGAGAUGGAAUUAGUGGUGUAGGGGUAAAAUCCGUAGAUAUCACUAGGAAUACCUAAAGCGAAGGCGAUCUCCUGGAACAUUACUGACGCUAAGGCGUGAAAGCGUGGGGAGCAAACAGGAUUAGAUACCCGAGUAGUC